RNAcentral lists this ribosomal RNA (420 nucleotides) under uncultured bacterium. Its description in RNAcentral is "bacterial SSU rRNA". It matches the Rfam family "Bacterial small subunit ribosomal RNA", at positions 355 to 774 of the family's 1533-position model. The record is from RNAcentral.
UAAGGAAUAUUGCUCAAUGGGAGAAAUCCUGAAGCAGCAACGCCGCGUGGAGGAUGAAGGGUCUAUGACUUGUAAACUCCUGUAAAGAAGGAAAAAAUUCCCAUUUGAUGGGAGAUGAUGGUACUUCUGGAGUAAGCCCCGGCUAACUACGUGCCAGCAGCCGCGGUAAUACGUAGGGGGCAAGCGUUGUCCGGAUUUACUGGGUGUAAAGGGUGCUCAGGCGGAUUUGUAAGUCAGAGGUGAAAUCUUACAGCUUAACUGUGAAACUGCCUUUGNUACUACAAGCCUAGAGUAUGGAAGAGAGUGAUGGAAUAUCUGGUGUAGCAGUGAAAUGCGUAGAUAUCAGAUAGAACACCAAUGGCGAAGGCAGUCACUUGGUCCAUUACUGACGCUAAAGCACGAAAGCAUGGGUAGCAAACA